UACGAAGGGGGCUAGCGUUGCUCGGAAUGACUGGGCGUAAAGGGCGCGUAGGCGGAUGGCUUUGUCGGGCGUGAAAUUCCAGGGCUUAACCUUGGGGCUGCGUUCGAGACGGGUUGUCUUGAGUGGGGAAGAGGGUCGUGGAAUUCCCAGUGUAGAGGUGAAAUUCGUAGAUAUUGGGAAGAACACCGGUGGCGAAGGCGGCGACCUGGUCCUUUACUGACGCUGAGGCGCGAAAGCGUGGGGAGCAA
Molecule: ribosomal RNA, 248 nt
Filed under: uncultured bacterium
Lineage: Bacteria
Description: partial 16S ribosomal RNA
Rfam family: Bacterial small subunit ribosomal RNA
Source: RNAcentral